AAUUCAAGACAUUUAGACCAGUUUUUAAAAAGUUAUACAGUUUUAAAAGGUGUCAUUGUAAAUAUGAUAUAUAUUCCUCAUUGUAAAUAUCUGAGGCUGUAAGGAAAAACACAGCAUGUAACAAUUUCAAAAAAUUUCAGUUUAUGUAUUAAUUGAGCAGUACACAAUAUAGGAUUCAAGUAUUUGUCAGAAAAGAAUCAUGAAAACAAAUUUGAUGGAUAAUAUUGAUGUGACAAUAUCUCAAAAGUGAAAACAUAUGACAUAAAGCCUUUUUCUUUCCAGCCAUAGGUAUAAUGAAAAAGUUAUCAAUAAUAGCAGAAAUUUAUAAAAAGAUGCGUUACAAAACCGAAGAAAAAAAAGCAUUACUUACGACUUUUCAUGUUGGCAGAAAUUUUGUGGAACUUUUUACUUGACGAAAUGUCGAAAAUUAUAUUAAUCAAUGUGAAUAAAAGUAUGAACAAUUAAUCCAAACAGUUAACAGUUGCUUAUUAUGCUGUUAUUAUAGGUUAUAUUUGGAUAUAUAACCACAACAACGAGAAUGUGAUUCGAUCGUUGAAAAAUUGGUAACUUUCUGUGUAAUGUCACUAUUUAUAAAAAUAUAACUUGUUCGAGCUAGUACUUUUCGUAUAAAUAAAUUGUCAAGAAAACCAGCACGUAUCAACACAGCACAGCACAGACGAGAUCGCUGCCAACGGUAGAGAGACGAAUAGCACCCCCCACCGAUGGACGCUGCCAGGUACAAUUGCUGAAGACCUAGCUAUCUAUGUUUAUUACUUUAUUACCCGAGCUAAUGUCGUCGGGGUAGAGCGAAACAGUUAAUGGAAACGAGAAAAGAUGCAAACAAUUGUUGGUCAUUUCGCUAUAGAAAUAAUGUCGGUGAAAUACGGUGUCGAGGCAAACAAUAAAACGAUUACCGAUACCUGCAUUGGUUGCGAUGGCUGCAUCGUUUCUGCAUUGGGCAGUCUCUUUUCUUUUAUGACAGCUUCGAACGCUUCUUCGUCGAGCCGAACCAAUUUAGGCAAAGCAAUUAAAGACUUUCCGAAACUGGCGAAAUGUUUUCUUUCAUUAUAUUUCCUUGCAUCGUCGCAUGCACACAAUUGGGCAGUAUAUAACAAUAGACGAUAAAUAAUUGUCAACUACGUGCCUUGGUACGGACGAAAGAAUACCGUUUCGAAAAUCCUGGGCCUGGGUGACAGGCCCACACCCUAGCCAUUAAGGACACAAGGCACAUGGUACCCGCCAUAAACCUCGGCCGGGCAAUCCUCAACAGCUAAGAAUAACUUCGGAAUUCCCACAGACUCCGUAUUCUAGCAAAAAGGCAUAUUUUCUAUACAGUUUCCUUUAAAUAGCUGCGAAAAGAUCAUUUCACUCUAGAAACCAAUUUGAAAGUUAUAAUUAUUUAAAUACGACCGCAUCACGCGUCGCUUAUGAGCGCGCUCGGUCGCAUAUCACGGCAGCGAGUACGCAUACCCAUUUUUAUUACACAUAUCAGGAAAAAAUGAUAAUAUCAUUGAAGAAAGUCCAAAUAAUGUCGUGUUUGGAUUCGUUUUCAUUGGGAAAAACUCUUUCGUGCGUGAUUCCUCAUCUGCUUACAUUGAAUGCCGUUUGCGGAUCGCUGGGUCUUUGGCGCUCAGCAACGCGUUUAUUCGAGAAGAGAGAGAGAGAGAGAGAGAGAGAGAGAGAGAGAGAGAGAGAGAGAGAGAGAGAGAGAGAGAACUGGCAAUGGUCAUUCCAAUAUUUAUUCGUGAUCUUCAAAUUGAAUUUUUUCCAAUAACGAAAUAUUUUAUUUAAAUAUUCAUAUACACGUGUAUCAGAAACACGAAUUUAGAAUUUCUUAAUACACGGUACGCGUGUUCCAUGUACACGUGUAUUAUGCAUAGUGCAAUUUUUGCGACCGAGAUCUUUAGUAUAAGCAACGGUAAACGACAGGUAACAUAAAGGGUUUGUGCACAGGAUUUUUGUAUUUGUACUUCGCCUACCACACUUUUCAAACACAGUGACCUUUAAAGCUAACACGAUUCUUGAUCUUAUGGUCGGCAUAUAUGUAGUGGGCCGGAUCGAGAAAUUCAGUUAUAUUCUGUUAAAAAAAGAAGCCGUAGGUUGACGACCAGAGCAUCCACGAAUGCGUUACGAUUUCGGAGGUCUUCUGGUCAAACAAAACGAAGGUUCGUAACGGUUGACCAGCGCAUCUAUGAAAGGAUGAUAACACAUGAUAACAUAUCUGUAAACUAUUCGAACUAUGGAACCUUCAAAUAAGUCAAUUUCGGCUAUGUGCGUCACCUCCUUUAGCUACUAAUGAAACAAUUAAGGAUAAAUAACCCGGUUAUCGUUUGCGAUGCGAAUAGUUACGUCUGAUCUUCUUGUAGAUGUUAGUAUGUAAUAUGCCAAGCACGUCUGAACGUCCGUAAAAAUCAUGUUUUCCCAUAAUCUUAAUAAAAGAUUUAUUUUUCAAAUCAAUUUUCGGUAUCAAUGUUGUCUGCAGUCUUAUUCCGAGUACUGUUGUAGAGUAUAGAGGACAGAAUAUGUAUGUGUAGAUUUUUUCACGCUCGGGCAAGACAUUCUUAUGUUUGACACAUACAGUGUAAUGUCAUUUUUUCAAAGUUGCUAUUGAUGUUGGUCUCUUGAUUAGUUUUAUUUCAAAUUAGCGAGGUAAACAAGUAAUUUAAAUGUGUUUUACGUUAGCUAUUUACAUUAGCAAUGUAAAUGUAUUGAAAAUGCAUUUGUUAAUUGUUAAUAAAUUAAAUUUAACGUAAGGAA
This is a non-coding RNA of Megalopta genalis, 2757 nucleotides long. The record is from RefSeq and is a predicted model, not a curated record. NCBI's taxonomy places the organism in Eukaryota, Metazoa, Arthropoda, Insecta, Hymenoptera, Halictidae.